AAAGAACAAAAAAGCUUCAGAUAGAUCCGCCAACAUAAAAUCUAUGUACAUACAUGAAAGAAACGAGCUAGACCUAGAUUUGAAAAACGCAUUCACGUUACAAUCGUCUGGCAGUGACAGAAGUCCCUUCGAGUCUGCUUGAAUUAGCUGCACUUCGUGACCAAGAUGAUGGCUUGAAGCUACCUGCCAGUAUGUUUGAAGCCGCAGAUGCACAGAUCUUUCUUCUCUUGGAUUCUAGGUCCAAUCGUUUCUUA
RNAcentral lists this unclassified non-coding RNA (254 nucleotides) under Hevea brasiliensis (rubber tree). The record is from RNAcentral. Lineage: Eukaryota; Viridiplantae; Streptophyta; Magnoliopsida; Malpighiales; Euphorbiaceae.